This is a non-coding RNA of Cricetulus griseus (Chinese hamster), 3086 nucleotides long. Lineage: Eukaryota; Metazoa; Chordata; Mammalia; Rodentia; Cricetidae. The record is from RefSeq and is a predicted model, not a curated record.
CUGCUUUCCUGUCAUGUCUACUUUCCCUAGGAUCUCAUCCUUCCAGACUGUGGGCUUCACGUUGCUGUGAGGAAGGAGUGUGGCACAGGCAGACCUCCAGUGCUCUGAGUGGAAUACCAAUGGAGUUUUCAUUUUGGGUUUGGCAUGCACAGAGAUGAGAAAUAAAAAUGAAAAGAUUUCCAGAAAGAAGCCAUGAUAAAGUUUAAUGUUUCACAGUCCAAGCUAAUGUCCAUGGAUAAUUGGCGAAAUGAUCUGAAAAAAUGGAUUCCUGGCAGAAGAAGUGUAACUAGACUAAUGCAAGGUUAUCUCCCUCACUACAAGAAGCCAGAGAGCCAGCUCUCCUACCAUGUGCAUAUACAGAUUUGCAGCUUGGAAGAAAAUACUCAUCUGAUCCCAACUGCGCUGCCACUGUGAAUUCAGGCUUCCAGCUUCCAGCACAGUGAGAGAUGUUUACUUCCUGUUAUUUUAUCCUGGAGCUUUGCUAUGUGGAUAAACCCGAUUAUCAGUUACACACUCUGCGCAGAUACUCCCCUUCUCCCUACUCACCUAACUUCAUGUUUCUUCCACCCCCUCCAAAAGAAAUGAAGCCAAGCUGGGCAGUGGUGGCACACGCCUUCAAUUCCAGCAUUCGAGAGGCAGAGGCAGGAGAAUCUCUGAGUGUGCAGAGUACCUUCCAGCACCAUGAACAAAGUCAAUAGUAGUGAAGCUUCUAGUUGGGCACCAGCUCAUUUCUUCAUGUGUCAUGAUGUAAGGCUGACUAUUUGACACUGGACAACAAAUUGGUGUAUUCUUUUCUGAGGAAGACCACGUCUCCUGCUAAAACAGAACCUGGAAGCAACCUAGAUGCCCCUAAACUGAAGAAUAGAUAGAGAAAAUGUGGUACAUUUACACAAUGGAGUACUACUCAGUGGGAAAAAAAAAACAAUGGAAUUUUGAAAUUCGCAUGCAAAUGGAUGGAACUAGAAGAAACCAUCCUGAAUGAGAGGAGAGUAUGAAUGCAGUCCCCCACUACCACAAAUUAUGCAGUUGAGUUUCCUGCAUUUGGAGAAAUCUCAGGAGUCAGCGUAUCCAGAGUGCAGUGGCUGAGUCUAGCCCUGGGAAAACCACCUUUGUGAUCACGGUACCUCUCCUGCAAGGGAGUGUAUUUGUUUUUCUCUUCUGCACUGCUGGAGAAGCCACCCUGGACCUCACACAUACUAGGGGUGCCAGCGCUCCCCAGGCUGCGCAGGACCCGAAUGACAUCGAGGUUCUCAUCGACGAGCAGUCCCGACGUUUGGGGGCGCUCAGGGUCCAUGACCCUCUAGAAGAAAGGUCGGUUGCUUUGGUGAAUUUCAUGCGCAUGAAAAGCCAAAGUGAGGGGUCUAUCCGGCAGUCAGACAUGCUGGAGUUUCUCCGAGAAUACUCAGAUCAGUCCCCUGAGAUACUCAGGCGAGCCUCAGCCCACCUGUCUCUGGUCUUUGGGAUGAAUCUGAGAGUUCUUGAUCCUCAGACUGACACUUCCAACCCAGCCAGCAAACCAGGUCCCCAGUCCACUGAACGGCUAGCAGAGACUCUGGACAUGCCCAAAGCAGGUCUCCUGGCCUUGGUCCUAGGGCACAUCCUCUUGAAUGGCAACCGGGCAAGAGAGGCCUCCAUUUGGGACCUGCUGCUAAAGGUUGAUGUGAUGGAUGAGCCUCAGAGGAUCAACAACCUCUUUGGGAACACAAGAAGUCUCCUUACUACUGACUUUGUCCGUAUGCGGUUUUUGGAGUACUGGCCAGUGUAUGGCAAGUUCCUGUGGGGCUCUAGUGCCCACAGGGAAAUCACAAAGAUGGAAGCCUUGAAGUUUGUAGCAGAGGCCCAUGAUGAAGAGCCCUGGAGCUGGCCAGAAGAAUAUAACAAGGCCCUGGAAGCUGACAAAGCCAAAGAGAAAAGUCAGGCUGCUGGCUUAGAGUUCUGGUCAGAGGACGCUAUGAAUGAUAAAGCAAAUGAUUUGGUCCAGUUGGCCAUUAAUGUCACUGAGGAGUUGCUGCCUAUACAUCAGGAUGAGCUAUUGGCUCAUACUGGUAAAGAAUUCGAGGAUGUGUUCCCAAAAAUCCCCAGGGGAGCCACUCUGAUCCUUGAUCUGUUUUAUGGGUUCUCUCUGAUUGAGGUUGAUACCAGUGAGCACAUCUACCUCCUGGUCCAGCAACCAGAAUCAGAAGAAGAGCAAGUAAUGUUAGAGAGCCUGGGCAGGCCCACCCAAGAAUAUGUGAUGCCGAUCCUGGGCUUGAUCUUCCUGAUGGGCAACCGUGUCAAGGAGGCCAACAUCUGGAACUUACUCCGGAGACUUAGUGUGGAUGUAGGAAGAAAGCACGCCAUCACCUGUAAGCUUAUGAGACAACGUUAUCUGGAAUGCCGGCCACUCUCCUACUCUAAUCCAGUCGAAUAUGAGCUGCUGUGGGGUCCUCGGGCUCACCUUGAAAUCACCAAAAUGAAAGCCUUGGAAUACAUGGCUAGGCUCUACAGAAAGCGGCCCCAGGACUGGCCAGAGCAAUACAGGGAGGCUGUGGAAGAAGAAGAGGCCAGGGCCAGAUCCGAGGGAACGGCCACGUUCUUCUUUGGCUCCAUGUGAAGUCUGAUGUUUCACUUUAGUUGAGUGGCAUCAGUUAAAGGGGCCUUUGGGGAAGGGACAAUCCUGUCCUAAAUCAGAAGUUGGGAGGGUUGGGGUUAAGAGUAUACCUUGUGCUUAUUGUGUUCCAAUUCUAACAGUAUUUCUUUCCUUCUAAUAUAUUCUAAUUGUCUUCAUGAUCAGUGUUUCUAAAUGAAUUGCUCAUUUUCUCUUCCUGUCUUGUUUCAGUAUAAAUGUUCAGAUAACUGUGUAAAAUGUAUUGGUUAUAUUUAUGUAUUUGAAAUAACCAGUAAAAUAAGCUAAAUAACAGUAACAAUACACACACAUGUACACAAACACACCCCAAACACAAAGCCCCUCAUUUGUGGUUGCCCUCCUUUUGAAUCUAUUGUUGUGUUAACAAACAAACUAACUAACAAAAACAAAAGACUGCCACUUACCUGUAUUUAAUUUGCUGUUGCAGAGUGUAGUAAAAAUAAAAGUAUAAUGAAUUAGA